GGUUUGGGAUCGGACAAUAUGGUAUCAGGUAGUUGGUGAGGUAACGGCUCACCAAGCCUUCGACGCCUAGCCGGACUGAGAGGUCGGCCGGCCACAUCGGGACUGAGACACUGCCCGGACUCCUACGGGGGGCUGCAGUAAUGAAUCUUCCACAAUGCACGAAAGUGUGAUGGAGCGACGCCGAGUGAAGGAGAAGUCCUUCGGGAUGUAAACUUCUAAAACCUGCUAGAAAGUUCUGAUCAGCAGGCUAUAAGUGGCGACUAACUCUGUGCCAGCAGUCGCGGUAAUACAGAGGCCACGAGCGUUAGGCGGAAUCACUGGGCUUAAAGCGUGUGUAGGCGGAUGUCUAAGUACCUUGUGAAAUCCCACAGCUCAACUGUGGAACUGCUUGGUAUACUGGAUAUCUUGAGGUGCUCAGGGGCGAGCGGAACAAACGGUGGAGCGGUGAAAUGCGUAGAUAUCGUUUGGAACGCCAAUGGUGAAGACAGCUCGCUGGGAGCAUUCUGACGCUGAGACACGAAAGCCAGGGGAUCAAAGGGGAUUAGAUACCCCCGUAGUCCUGGCCCUAAACGAUGUCCACUAGGCUGUGGCAGCUCUGACGCUGUCGCGGCCGAAGCAAAAGUGUUAA
Molecule: ribosomal RNA, 628 nt
Filed under: uncultured Planctomycetota bacterium
Lineage: Bacteria; Pseudomonadati; Planctomycetota
Description: bacterial SSU rRNA
Rfam family: Bacterial small subunit ribosomal RNA
Source: RNAcentral